GUGCGUAUACAAUAGCGAGUCAGUUGGGAUGGACUGCUAUAGAAUACCAUUUCCGCUCAUUCCAGAUUAUGAAUUCAGAGCCUAAUUUUCUGUAAAUUGUCAUUCUUGUCUGGUAAGGAAAGCUAAUUUUUUCCUCAUAUGGAAAAAACCCCACCACCACCAUCAUCCUGGGCCCCGCUCCUGGGAACAGGGCCUGCCGUGCCGGGUGGAGGCCUUCUGUUCCUGGGUUCAAUGGGAGGCGUCCACGUUGCAGUGCUUACUGAGUGCCUCGUGUGCAGGGCCCUCUUCCAGGCCCUGUGCUCACGGCGAUGCUGAGGUCCCUCCCGUGGGGAGAAGCAGGCAAUAACGAAGGGACGAAGGGAAGGAGCGAUCACUGCUACAGAGGAAGGAAAUCAGAGUGACUGGAAGCGGCUAGUCAGGGAAGGCUCUGGCGAGGGACUCUGGAGCCCAGCAGCCUGACAAGAAGGGGCCAGCUCGGGGGAGACAGCCAGCAGAUGGUCCCCAAGUGGUGGCAGAGAGGCUGUCGGCAGCUCCAGGUUUAACCUCCUGUCAGCUGAGGAGAGGACUUGCUCAGAUGAGAGUCCUCCUGGGCGUCCAGGACAAACGAGGACAGGGUAGGCUGCUUGGCUGGCUCUGGGGAUGCCCCUCAGCUCACUGCCCCCUUCCCCUUGGACUUGGCAGGUAGCCCCUGAGAGGGCUCUGGAGACCACACCUGCAGUCCCUGCCUCCCCCGAUGUCCCACCUGUCUGUCCCUGCUCCCUCUGCUGAUGACCCUGCGCCAGCCCCCUCAGCGGUGAUGAAGGCCUGGGCCACGGCUGCCUCUGGACAUGGCACAGGCGUCCUGCCUGGGGGGCGGCCCUAGAAAUGUGACAUUCUCCUGGCCCACUGGGCUGAGAGUCCACCACGGCCCUCACGCUCCCAUGGUGGAGGGCGUUUAAUAUGGGGAAGUGCACGUGGUCCGCCUGCCCACUAAAGCAGACACCCAGAGCCCCCACCCUCCUCUGUGCUCUUUCGAGGCAGACCAGUGUGCUCAUCAAGAGUGCAGGCUCCGGGGCAGAUGGCCCGGUUACUGGCUGUGUGACCCUGGACGGUUCCUCAGCCCCUCUGUGCCUCAGUAUCCUUGUCAGGGAGGUAGGGAAAUAAUGCUGGUGCUGCUGUGAAGACUCAAGGAAGCAGGGCAGGGGCUCUGGACACGCUAGCUGUGAUCGUACGGACGGCUGUUUGUGGGGCCGUGCUGGCCCGGAGUUUGGUUGCAGGUGACAGGAAUGGACUCCAGCCAUCUCAGACAGGAGGGCAUGCCUGGGGAGAGCUCCCUUUCCUGCCGUGUCUCACUCCAGCCUUGGCCCUGAGAGUGGGUGUGUGGUCAGCCCGCCCUGCCAUGUGGGGGACCAGGCGGGGGAGUCAGCUCUGAGUGAAGGGGCAGCAAGGGGCCGGCGAGGGCCUGCCCUCUUCCGAGACUGUCCCUGUGAAGACACACCAAGCCGGCGGCUUUCGGCAGACCCAACCCCACACCGUGCGUCCACGCUGUUUGAUUUGAAAGCCCUUUUCCCACACACUGCUGAGCUCAGCUGGCACCAGGGUGGUGGACUGCAGGUGCACGGACAGGGAGCCGGAGGCUCGAGUCCUCGGGGCUGGCUAGGAUCCUGGCACUGGCCCCUGAGAGUCCCGUCUGUGCCCUGUGUGAACUGGGCAGGCCUUCGGGGCAGUGAGACAGCCUCAAGUCCUGGCGGUCAAUCCACGACAUGCUCGGUGUCCUGGCUGCAUCCCCUCACCUCUGGGCGCCAGCUCCAGGGUCGAGCGCACAUCCUUGGCAAGGGCACCUCGCUUAAGGAAUGUGGGCCAAGGCCAGCAGCGGCCUGCCACGAGGAGGGGCAACCCUG
RNAcentral lists this long non-coding RNA (1880 nucleotides) under Equus caballus (horse). RNAcentral describes it as "lncRNA (ENSECAG00000050550.1)". The record is from RNAcentral. Lineage: Eukaryota; Metazoa; Chordata; Mammalia; Perissodactyla; Equidae.